GACCUGAUGGCACAACGGUUAGUGUGUCUGCUCUAUUUGUACCAAAAUUGUGCCUCUAUGCAGAAGAUCCCAGUUCGAAUCCGGGUCAGGUCA
This is a non-coding RNA of Mycena alexandri, 93 nucleotides long. NCBI's taxonomy places the organism in Eukaryota, Fungi, Basidiomycota, Agaricomycetes, Agaricales, Mycenaceae. The record is from the annotation of a GenBank genome assembly.